GAUGAACGCUGGCGGCGUGCCUAAUACAUGCAAGUCGAGCGAACGGACGAGAAGCUUGCUACUCUGAUGUUAGCGGCGGACGGGUGAGUAACACGUGGAUAACCUACCUAUAAGACUGGGAUAACUUCGGGAAACCGGAGCUAAUACCGGAUAAUAUUUUGAACCGCAUGGUUCAAAAGUGAAAGACGGUCUUGCUGUCACUUAUAGAUGGAUCCGCGCUGCAUUAGCUAGUUGGUAAGGUAACGGCUUACCAAGGCAACGAUGCAUAGCCGACCUGAGAGGGUGAUCGGCCACACUGGAACUGAGACACGGUCCAGACUCCUACGGGAGGCAGCAGUAGGGAAUCUUCCGCAAUGGGCGAAAGCCUGACGGAGCAACGCCGCGUGAGUGAUGAAGGUCUUCGGAUCGUAAAACUCUGUUAUUAGUGAAGAACAGAUGUGUAAGUAACUGUGCACAUCUUGACGGUACCUAAUCAGAAAGCCACGGCUAACUACGUG
Molecule: ribosomal RNA, 497 nt
Filed under: uncultured bacterium
Lineage: Bacteria
Description: partial 16S ribosomal RNA
Rfam family: Bacterial small subunit ribosomal RNA
Source: RNAcentral